Molecule: ribosomal RNA, 497 nt
Filed under: uncultured bacterium
Lineage: Bacteria
Description: partial 16S ribosomal RNA
Rfam family: Bacterial small subunit ribosomal RNA
Source: RNAcentral
GACGAACGCUGGCGGCGUGCCUAAUACAUGCAAGUUGAGCGCUGAGGGCUGGUACUUGUGCCAACUGGGUGAGGAGCGAACGGGUGAGUAACGCGUGGGGAAUCUGCCUGUGAGCGGGGGACAACAUGUGGAAACGAAUGCUAAUACCGCAGAAAAACUUGAAACACGGUGUGGAAGGUUGAAAUAUGCAGUUGCAUGACGGAAAGAUGAUCCCGCGUUGUAUUAGCGAGGUGGUGAGGUAAAGGCGCACCAAGGCGAUGAUACAUAGCCGACCUGAGAGGGUGAUCGGCCACCUUGGGACUGAGACCCGGCCCAAACUCCUACGGGUGGCAGCAGUACGGCAUCUUCGGCAAUGGACGAAAGUCUGACCGCGCAACGCCGAGUGAGUGAAGAAGGUCUUCGGAUCGUAAAACUCUGUUGGUAGAGAAGAACGUUGGUGAGAGUGGAACGCUCCUCAAGUGACGGUAACUACCCAGAAAGCGACGGCUAACUACGUG